AGGAUUGUGGCUCAGUGGCAGAGCACUUGCCUAGCAUGUGUGAGGCACUGGGUUUGAUCCCCAGCUUUCCAC
RNAcentral lists this transfer RNA (72 nucleotides) under Marmota monax (woodchuck). It matches the Rfam family "tRNA". From Rfam's summary of the family: Transfer RNA (tRNA) molecules are approximately 80 nucleotides in length. Their secondary structure includes four short double-helical elements and three loops (D, anti-codon, and T loops). Lineage: Eukaryota; Metazoa; Chordata; Mammalia; Rodentia; Sciuridae. The record is from Rfam by way of RNAcentral.